AUUUGAACAUGAACCAAACCCACACAAAAUUGCCAUCAAUCACCGUCAAAAUUAAUCGUAAAACUCCGAUGAACAUCCGGCGAAUCACUCGUUCUCUCUCCAUCAAAGUUAGUCGUAAACUCGUAAAACAGUGAUGAUAUUCUCCGAUUUGAACAUCCGGCGAAUCAGUCCCACUUUCUCUCUCCAAAUCUCCUGGUAAUCUGGUCCAUGAAUCGCUAAUCUGCUACUACCCUGGCAGAGUUGCAGAUAUUCAAUGUCAAGGAGUGGAAAAUAGUAGAUAUUUGAGGAGAUGGGGAUGGAGGAAUGUCGGACGGAGAUGGCAAGAAGGUGAAGACGAAGAUGCGUUGUUGGAGAACAGAAGUGGAGUCUGGGUUUGGGUUUGGGACUUUGAAGAUUUUUUUUCCUUUUAUUCCUUUUACUUAGUAAUUACCUAAUGGGCUUUGAUUCUAUUGGGGGUGGGUUUUGGGUUCUUCAUGCCCAUUUUUUUGAUGUUUUUUUUAUCUCCGUUUUUUCUGAUAUUUUUGUGUAUGAUGUGAGAAGAUGAUUAUUAAUGUAUUAUUGUUAUUAUUGGUAAUUAAUAAUAUCACAUAUUAAAUAAUUAUGAUUUACGUGGUAUUUAU
Molecule: long non-coding RNA, 620 nt
Organism: Spinacia oleracea (spinach)
Lineage: Eukaryota; Viridiplantae; Streptophyta; Magnoliopsida; Caryophyllales; Amaranthaceae
Exons: 3
Source: RefSeq, a predicted model, not a curated record